This 465-nucleotide ribosomal RNA is filed under the name Vreelandella stevensii. Its description in RNAcentral is "partial 16S ribosomal RNA". It matches the Rfam family "Bacterial small subunit ribosomal RNA", at positions 338 to 795 of the family's 1533-position model. Lineage: Bacteria; Pseudomonadati; Pseudomonadota; Gammaproteobacteria; Oceanospirillales; Halomonadaceae. The record is from RNAcentral.
CCUACGGGGGGCAGCAGUGGGGAAUAUUGGACAAUGGGGGCAACCCUGAUCCAGCCAUGCCGCGUGUGUGAAGAAGGCCCUCGGGUUGUAAAGCACUUUCAGUGAGGAAGAACGCCUGGUGGUUAAUACCCAUCAGGAAAGACAUCACUCACAGAAGAAGCACCGGCUAACUCCGUGCCAGCAGCCGCGGUAAUACGGAGGGUGCGAGCGUUAAUCGGAAUUACUGGGCGUAAAGCGCGCGUAGGUGGCUUGAUAAGCCGGUUGUGAAAGCCCCGGGCUCAACCUGGGAACGGCAUCCGGAACUGUCAAGCUAGAGUGCAGGAGAGGAAGGUAGAAUUCCCGGUGUAGCGGUGAAAUGCGUAGAGAUCGGGAGGAAUACCAGUGGCGAAGGCGGCCUUCUGGACGGACACUGACACUGAGGUGCGAAAGCGUGGGUAGCAAACAGGAUUAGAUACCCGUGUAGUC